GAUGAACGCUGGCGGCAUGCCUAAUACAUGCAAGUCGAACGAAGUGAAGAUAGCUUGCUAUUGGAUCUUAGUGGCGAACGGGUGAGUAACACGUAGGUAACCUGCCCAUAUGACUGGGAUAACUAUUGGAAACGAUAGCUAAUACCGGAUAGGUGAAGCGAAGGCAUCUUCGCUUCAUUAAAGUCGGGAUACGACACAUAUGGAUGGACCUGCGGCGCAUUAGCUAGUUGGUGAGGUAACGGCUCACCAAGGCGAUGAUGCGUAGCCGACCUGAGAGGGUGAACGGCCACACUGGGACUGAGACACGGCCCAGACUCCUACGGGAGGCAGCAGUAGGGAAUUUUCGGCAAUGGGGGAAACCCUGACCGAGCAAUGCCGCGUGAGUGAUGAAGGCCUUCGGUUGUAACCGCUUUCUAGUAGGAAGAAGCGAAGUGACGGUACCUACAGAAGAA
This 452-nucleotide ribosomal RNA is filed under the name uncultured bacterium. RNAcentral's name for it is "bacterial SSU rRNA". It matches the Rfam family "Bacterial small subunit ribosomal RNA", at positions 28 to 489 of the family's 1533-position model. The record is from RNAcentral.